This is a long non-coding RNA of Carassius auratus (goldfish), 4515 nucleotides long. The record is from Ensembl. Lineage: Eukaryota; Metazoa; Chordata; Actinopteri; Cypriniformes; Cyprinidae.
AUGGAGUACCUGAAGGAGCAGUAUAUGCUUAAACACGCCACUCUGAUGGUGUUUCACAGUCACUCUAAUGUUUACGUGUCUCCGCUCUCUUUUCUGCAUGCGAAGGUGACUCCCACCAAAACAAGCAAAGAAGCCAAAGCCACUCCAGAUGCUUCAAAAGAGCAGUCACAGAAAGAGACCCCACCAGCACCAUCAACAAAUGUACAGGAAGCACCCAAGGCACCUCCUCCUCCUCCCCCAGCACCACCGAAGAUGGAAAGCAAAGCAGAGCCGGCGGUGAAGAAAGAGGAAACAUCUGCAACAAAAGCAGCAACAGCAGCUGCAACAAAAGCAGAGGGAUCUGCCAAGAGCAAAACUAAAGACAGUGCAUUAAGCAAACUCUUCCGUUCAAAGCCUGUUGUGGUGGAAGAGAAAAAGCCGGUUGAGGUGCAGGUCGACGCGUCUAAGACCAGCACUCUUGAGGCCACAGCCAAACCUGAAGAACCUCCAGCGCCAAAAACAGAGGAGAAGAAAACUGAGAAGAAAUCCACUUUUGGAAAAAUGUUCAAACCCAAGGUAAAGAAGGGAUGCAUGGAGUGCAGGUGUGUGAGUGUAUCAGAUGUGUUAGUGCAUGCAGUAACAGCUGUGUGUGAAUUCGAGGUUCUGCUCGGCCAGGUGAGCAGCAGGAUCCAGGCCGCGGCGUCCAGCGCUGCCGCCAGCAUCUCCCUCAUGUCUGCUGCAGCGGUAAACGCCGCUAGAUCAGGCCCCUUCUGCAUUAACCAGACUCACUGAUUUCACUCUUCUCAAUCUCACAGCUGUUCUCUGACAAGUUCAACUGAGUCAAAACAUAUCUGCAGUAUCACAGCUAUUAACCAACUUAAUAUUUCAGCAGUGUAAUAUGGCCUUUGUUUUCUGAAAAAUUAAUUUUCAAUAAAAAUCCUUCACCCUUACAUUUCUUAUAUUUCAAAUUUUCUUUUAAACUCAAUUUCUUUCUUUUUCUUUUUCUUUUUUUUCUUUUUCUUUCUUUCUUUCUUUCAAAAUUUCAAAACUUUAAAAAUUCAAAACUUCAAACUUACUUUUAAAAAGCCUUCCUUCAUUCAUUCCUUCAUUCAUUCCGUCCUUCCUUUUCUUUCUUUCUUUCUUUUUCUUUCUUUUCUUUCAAAACUUCAAACUUACUUUUAAAUAGCCUUCCUUCAUUCUGUCCUUUCUUUCUUUCUUUCUUUCUUUUUUUCGAGUGGAUUCUGAAGUGGGUUCAUUUAUUUGUUCACUAAUUACUUUAUUUGAUUACUUCUUGGAAUUUUUUUUUUUUUUUUUUUUUUACUUUAAUAUAUUAAUAUAUUUAGUGUGUGUAUGCAUGUGUGUUAGUGUAUGUGUGUGUGUACUACCAUUCAAAAGUUUGGAGACAAAAUGUUAUGUCGUUUUAAAAGAAGUCUCUUACACUCACUAAGGCAUGCAGGCAAUGCAUGCAUUACUUGAUCAAUAUUACAGUAUCAUCUCAUUAAAUGCCAUUCGUUACUCUCAACACAAGGCACCAGAGUCCAAGAAGGAGACUCCAGCUGCUCCUCCCGUGGCAGAAGCUGCUCCACCCGCGAAGGCCAAAGAGGAGCCGAGACCCUCCACUCCUGUAACGCAAGGGGCCCUGGACAACAAAUCAGCCGACAGCACAGAGAACGCCUCCCCCAACAUGCCCCGCAAGCUGGAGAAGAGGAACUCCCUCCAGCUGUUCUUCAAAAACCUGGUUAAGUAGAAACCCAGAGAUUCUCCAGGGCUAGGGAUCCCACCCACACAACCGUGGGAGCAUUCACCAUCUGUGUAGUUAAACUCUUCAGUUGUAUGUAGUUUCCCAGUUUAAUGCUGUCGAGAAACAUUUCGUAAUUCUGUCCAACGUCUAACCAUCCUGAUUAUUUCGAUAUUGCUGGCUAUUAAUCUGAAAACAGUAAUCUAUGAGGUGACAAAAAUCAAGAUUUACAGUGUAUGACCACUAGAUGGCCUCAAUUACCAACCUAUCUAGAUUAUUCGAUCUGUUCCAUAGAAGCUUGUUUGUGUUGCGUUUUAAUAAAGUGGAAUAAAUAUUUAGAAUUAUUUAAUUAAACAGGACACUACAAUUUAGCAAGUAAUUUUCUUUUUAUUGCAUGAAAUCUCAAUCUCAUCAUCUAAACAUGUAAUUCUAAUCUUUGUUGCGAUAUAUAACUUCUUCAUAAAUAAAAAAUAUAUACUUUUUGUCACGUAAUAUAAUUGUAUCUAUCUACAAUUAUCGUUAUUUCAAACGGGAUCAUCCCUGUUAAUGUAUCUCGGACAAAAGUGUGAUGACAGCUAAAUGAUAUCAGAUAAUAAAGCACACAAAUUCACCAAAGCUGCGCUUUGAAGACGUGUUGGAGCAAGAUCCGCUUUUGCAAAUAAAGGCCCAGUUGUCAAACAGGUUUUGCUUCAGGCACCCUUACGGACGAGCAGUAAAAAACACACACUUUCUUACUAAGUUAGGAUCACUAAUGUUGCGUUAUGCGUUGGUGUGUCUCACAGGGCCAAAAACGCCAUUCUGAUGCCGGAGUGCAAACGGACCCUGUGGCACCCGAGAAGGCCAAAUAAAACCCUGCCUUUGUUUUGAUCGCUCAUCUGUGCCAAAACCAUUGGCAGCCAUGCACAUAAGAACAUAUUUACCAAAGUUGGGAGGUAUUAUGCUGAUUUGCAAGGCCAAAGUUUGAAGUAACUAUGAAAUUAUAAUCUGAAUCUCCAUGCAUUUAGUGAGAGCAGAAGUAAGUGUAACGAUCUCCCUGUUAAGCAAGUGCUACGUGUGUUUAUGACCAGAGGGAGGAACUUGUGUUGUUUUUCACAGAGAAACGUGUCAGAGUUGUUUGGUGUGGCAUGAGAUGGAAAAGUGAAAGUGAAAAUGUUAUCCUGCAUUGAAGAUAAACUCCCUUUUUUAUGUGCAUGUUACAAUGUUAACUAUACUAACACUACUCAUAUUGCAUCACGCAUUAAAUCCGCUGCAUUAAGAUGCCUUUUCCCCGGGAUAAAGCAAACAUCAUGUGCGUUUGCAUGUGAAAAGAAUCUAUUUAUGUAAUCAUACACUAUCUGAUUGUGAAAACAUUGACCCGUCGUCUGCUGAUUUCAAUCACUGAAACCUAUAAAGCCAAUUUGAAUUCCACUUGAAUUCCAUGCAAAACUUCUGCAUCACUUUAAUAAAUCCAUAGAAAUCACAAGUAUUUAUUUAACAUAAUGUCAAUCAAAUAGAGCACCAUAUAUUAUUAUUCCAAUUUAUUUGGUUAUUUAAGUUAAGCCCAGUUUCUAUAUAGAAUAAUAAUAAUAAUAAUAAUAAUUGUUUUCAUUUCUAAGAUUGUUUAUUAAACAUAACUUACUAACUAAACCACAUUACAAUUAUUGUCUUUUUAUUUGCUUGGCCGUCCAGUUCUGACCAGAGUAGACUAAAAAGAAAUUAAGCUAGUAAAAUAUUUUCUUUUCUUUCUUAUUUUCUGAAAAUUUUAGUUUUUAUUAGAACAGUAUGAAAUAAAUAUGCGUUAUACAGUUAUGCAAUAUAUAAUGUACAUUCAACUCAGCUGUAAUCACAUGUGUUUUAUGAUUUUCUUCCUAAUUAUCACUACAUUUGUAAAGAAUAGAUGGGCCUAAUUCAGAAUUUAGACAAUAUCCAUGAAUCGUAGACUUUCUGUAUCUCUUUUGUUGCAUUUUUGUCUAUUUAACCAAUUUAUAAAAAUAAAAUAAUUAUUUCUCUCCUCUGUAAAAUGACUCGUUCUGUAUUUACAACAUGAAGACAUUUAAAAUAUAUAGUUUUACGUUUUCCUGGGGGGGGGGGGGGUUUGCUGGUAUAGGUUUCCACAUGGCUAUAUACUGUAUGUAUAUAUAUAUAUAUAUAUAUAUAUAUAUAUAUAAAGAGGGCAUGUGUCAGGACCGCCUACAGGGCAGCAGGGGUGAACUGGCCAUCAGUGUGAUCUGGAGAAUCACAGAAAGGCCGGCCCACCACCCACCAAGCACGCAGUCAUCACCUCAUUCAGACUAUAAGUUGCACAUAAGUAUAAGUCGCAUCAGUCCAAAAAUACGUCAUGACGAGGAAAAAAACAUAUAAAUCGCACUGGAUUGUAAGUCGCAUUUAUUUAGAACCAAGAACCAAGAGAAAACAUUAUCGUCUACAGAGAGGGCGCUCUAUGUCUUCAGUGUAGACUACAGGAACACUGAGCAGCAUAGAGCGUCCUCUCGCGGCUGGAGACGGUAAUGUUUUAUCUUAGUUCAUUUCUCUUAGUUCAUUUCUCUAGGUUCAUGUCAAAUUAAUUUGGAUAAAUAAGUCGCACCUGACUAUAAGUCGCAGGACCUGCCAAAUUAUGAAAAAAAAGUGCAACUUAUAGUCCGGAAAAUACAGUAAGUAUGGAACAUGAGAGGAGAAAGAGUUACUUGCUAGGGAUGAUGUUAGGAAGUGAUAUUCAGGUUGCUACAUUUUUAAUGAUUACAGUAGUUAAAACAGCUAAACUUCAACAUCUUAGCUGUAAAAUGCCACAUGCAGUAGCUAAUAUUAAGAAAUAUUUUGUG